RNAcentral lists this ribosomal RNA (218 nucleotides) under uncultured bacterium. RNAcentral describes it as "partial 16S ribosomal RNA". It matches the Rfam family "Bacterial small subunit ribosomal RNA", at positions 1283 to 1500 of the family's 1533-position model. The record is from RNAcentral.
ACGGCUCAGUUCGGAUUGCAGGCUGCAACUCGCCUGCAUGAAGUCGGAAUCGCUAGUAAUCGCGGAUCAGCAUGCCGCGGUGAAUACGUUCCCGGGUCUUGUACACACCGCCCGUCAAACAAUGGGAGUGGUGUUUACCAGAAGUCGUUAGCCUAACCGCAAGGAGGGCGGCGACCACGGUGAGCACCGUGACUAAUGUUAAGUCGUAACAAGGUACC